RNAcentral lists this long non-coding RNA (207 nucleotides) under Manihot esculenta (cassava). Its description in RNAcentral is "long non-coding RNA (MESC_LNC010295)". Lineage: Eukaryota; Viridiplantae; Streptophyta; Magnoliopsida; Malpighiales; Euphorbiaceae. The record is from RNAcentral.
GCCAUCAUGCACAUCUAUCUUAGUCUUGGCUGUGCUUAAGAAAGGACGUCCAAGUAGGAUGUCUGAAGUAGCGUUGCUAUUGUCUUCCUUUGUAUCAAUCACAUAAAAGUCUGCUGGGAAGACAAGUUCAUCUACUUGUACUAGAACAUCUUUUAGAACUCCUUUUGGAUACACCACUGAUCUGUCAGCCAACUGAAUCACUACUCU